Molecule: ribosomal RNA, 374 nt
Filed under: uncultured organism
Description: partial 16S ribosomal RNA
Rfam family: Bacterial small subunit ribosomal RNA
Source: RNAcentral
GAGGGGGUGCAAACGUUAUUCGGAAUCAUUGGGCGUAAAGGGUGCGUAGGUGGUAUAUUAAGUCAACUGUUAAAUUUCUCGGGCCUAACCGAGAGCCUGCAGUAGAUACUGAUAUACUAGAGGGUGGAAGAGAGAAGUGGAAUUCUCGGAGUAGCGGUAAAAUGCGUAGAUCUCGAGAGGAACACCAAUGGCGAAGGCAGCUCCUUGGUCCAUACCUGACACUGAGGCACGAAAGCGUGGGGAGCAAACAGGAUUAGAUACCCUGGUAGUCCACGCCGUAAACGAUGAUCACUAGACGUUAGUUCCGUUUUACGGGAUUAGUGUCGUAGCUAACGCGAUAAGUGAUCCGCCUGGGGACUACGGUCGCAAGACUA